ACUGGCGGCAGCCUACACAUGCAAGUCGAGCGGCAGCGGGAAAGUAGCUUGCUACUUUUGCCGGCGAGCGGCGGACGGGUGAGUAAUGCCUGGGAAAUUGCCCAGUCGAGGGGGAUAACAGUUGGAAACGACUGCUAAUACCGCAUACGCCCUACGGGGGAAAGCAGGGGACCUUCGGGCCUUGCGCGAUUGGAUAUGCCCAGGUGGGAUUAGCUAGUUGGUGAGGUAAUGGCUCACCAAGGCGACGAUCCCUAGCUGGUCUGAGAGAAUGAUCAGCCACACUGGAACUGAGACACGGUCCAGACUCCUACGGGAGGCAGCAGUGGGGAAUAUUGCACAAUGGGGGAAACCCUGAUGCAGCCAUGCCGCGUGUGUGAAGAAGGCCUUCGGGUUGUAAAGCACUUUCAGCGAGGAGGAAAGGUCAGUAGCUAAUACCUGCUGGCUGUGACGUUACUCGCAGAAGAAGCACCGGCUAACUCCGUGCCAGCAGCCGCGGUAAU
RNAcentral lists this ribosomal RNA (500 nucleotides) under uncultured bacterium. RNAcentral's name for it is "bacterial SSU rRNA". It matches the Rfam family "Bacterial small subunit ribosomal RNA", at positions 36 to 524 of the family's 1533-position model. The record is from RNAcentral.